UACGGAGGGCGCAAGCGUUGUUCGGAAUCACUGGGCGUAAAGCGCGUGUAGGCGGCUUUGCAAGUCGGGUGUGAAAUCCCGAGGCUCAACCUCGGAACUGCACUCGAUACUGCUUGGCUCGAAUCCCGGAGAGGGUGGCGGAAUUCCCGGUGUAGGGGUGAAAUCCGUAGAUAUCGGGAGGAACAUCAGUGGCGAAGGCGGCCACCUGGACGGUGACUGACGCUGAGGCGCGAAAGCGUGGGGAGCAAACAGG
Molecule: ribosomal RNA, 253 nt
Filed under: uncultured bacterium
Lineage: Bacteria
Description: partial 16S ribosomal RNA
Rfam family: Bacterial small subunit ribosomal RNA
Source: RNAcentral